GACGUAGGGCGCGAGCGUUGUCCGGAUUUAUUGGGCGUAAAGAGCUCGUAGGCGGCUUGUUGCGUCGACCGUGAAAACCCGGGGCUCAACUUCGGGCUUGCGGUCGAUACGGGCGGGCUAGAGUUCGGUAGGGGAGACUGGAAUUCCUGGUGUAGCGGUGAAAUGCGCAGAUAUCAGGAGGAACACCGGUGGCGAAGGCGGGUCUCUGGGCCGAUACUGACGCUGAGGUGCGAAAGCGUGGGGAGCAAACAGG
Molecule: ribosomal RNA, 253 nt
Filed under: uncultured bacterium
Lineage: Bacteria
Description: partial 16S ribosomal RNA
Rfam family: Bacterial small subunit ribosomal RNA
Source: RNAcentral